RNAcentral lists this ribosomal RNA (494 nucleotides) under uncultured bacterium. RNAcentral's name for it is "partial 16S ribosomal RNA". It matches the Rfam family "Bacterial small subunit ribosomal RNA", at positions 28 to 507 of the family's 1533-position model. The record is from RNAcentral.
GACGAACGCUGGCGGCGCGCUUAACACAUGCAAGUCGAACGGAAAGGCCUGCUUUCCCUUGUGGAUUGCGGGUACUCGAGUGGCGAACGGGUGAGUAACACGUGAGUGAUCUGCCCCCAACUUGGGUAUAAGCCUGGGAAACUGGGUCUAAUUCCCGAUAGGACUGCAGGGUGGUGCCUGUGGUGGAAAACGAUUUUCUAGUGGUUGGGGAUGAGCUCGCGGCCUAUCAGCUUGUUGGUGGGGUAAUGGCCUACCAAGGCGGCGACGGGUAGCCGGCCUGGGAGGGUGGACGGCCGCAUUGGGACUGGGAUACGGCCCAGACUCCUACGGGAGGCAGCAGUGGGGAAGAUUGGACCAUGGGCCGAAGCCUGAUGCAGCGACGCCGCGUGGGGGAUGACGGCCUUCGGGUUGUAAACUCCUUUCGACCGCGAGGAAGCCACCUGGUUGGAAGGGUGGUGACGGUAGUGGUAGAAGAAGCCCCGGCUAACUACGUG